This 663-nucleotide long non-coding RNA is filed under the name Brassica napus (rape). RNAcentral describes it as "long non-coding RNA (BNAP_LNC023404)". Lineage: Eukaryota; Viridiplantae; Streptophyta; Magnoliopsida; Brassicales; Brassicaceae. The record is from RNAcentral.
AGAGGAGGAGAGACGCGGAGAGAGGUGGAGAGAAGAGGAGAGGUCGCGAGAAGCGGAGAGGCGGAGAGAGGUGGAGAGAAGCGACGAGGCGGCGAGAGGAGGAGAGACGCGGAGAGAGGCGGAGAGAAGAGGAGAGGUGGCGAGAAGCGGAGAGAGGUGGAGAGAAGCGGAGAGGCGGAGAGACGGAGAGGAUGAUAGAGAAGCUUCGGUGGUUUCCGUCGUUGAUUUCACCGGAGGGAACACAACGAAGCAGACACAAUCGCCAUGUUCUUCGCCGUUGAAGAGAGAGGCGGAGAGACCAAGAAGUUUUUAGGGUUAGGGAAAUCAAAUGUUUCUACACUUUUUGUUCUGAUUUUUUUUUCUGGCAACUUUAUUAAAUCAACAUUAUUGUAUUUUUUUUAAAUACAAUUAAUUAUGUUUAAUAAAUUAAUUAAAGGUUACUUUUGAUAUUAUGGAAAACAUUAUACUAUAGGGACAACUUGAAAUUGAAUUUAUACUAUAGAAACAACUAUGCUUUUUUCUUGUUCUCUUUUAGCAAUUUUCCCUUAAUUAUUUUGGUUUGAGUAACCGUUUCGACUCAUCAGAAUUUGUUCAUGGCAUUAUUUUAAGCGGAAAUUAUUUUUGUUUUGUCUCGUUUUGAGAAAUCAAUGAUUAGCUGCUCAA